GGCCUUGACAUGCUGAGAACUUUCCAGAGAUGGAUUGGUGCCUUCGGGAACUCAGACACAGGUGCUGCAUGGCUGUCGUCAGCUCGUGUCGUGAGAUGUUGGGUUAAGUCCCGUAACGAGCGCAACCCUUGUCCUUAGUUACCAGCACGUAAUGGUGGGCACUCUAAGGAGACUGCCGGUGACAAACCGGAGGAAGGUGGGAUGACGUCAAGUCAUCAUGGCCCUUACGGCCAGGGCUACACACGUGCUACAAUGGUCGGUACAAAGGGUUGCCAAGCCGCGAGGUGGAGCUAAUCCCAUAAAACCGAUCGUAGUCCGGAUCGCAGUCUGCAACUCGACUGCGUGAAGUCGGAAUCGCUAGUAAUCGUGAAUCAGAAUGUCACGGUGAAUACGUUCCCGGGCCUUGUACACACCGCCCGUCACACCAUGGGAGUGGGUUGCUCCAGAAGUAGCUAGUCUAACCUUCGGGGGGACGGUUACCACGGAGUGAUUCAUGACUGGGGUGAAGUCGUAACAAGGUAAGCGUAGAUGA
Molecule: ribosomal RNA, 532 nt
Filed under: uncultured bacterium
Lineage: Bacteria
Description: bacterial SSU rRNA
Rfam family: Bacterial small subunit ribosomal RNA
Source: RNAcentral